GAUGAACGCUAGCGGCAGGCCUAAUACAUGCAAGUCGGACGGGAUCCAUCGGAGAGCUUGCUCGAAGAUGGUGAGAGUGGCGCACGGGUGCGUAACGCGUGAGCAACCUACCUCUAUCAGGGGGAUAGCCUCUCGAAAGAGAGAUUAACACCGCAUAAUAUAAUUUCCCGGCAUCGAGGAAUUAUUAAAUAUUUAUAGGAUAGAGAUGGGCUCGCGUGACAUUAGCUAGUUGGUAGGGUAACGGCUUACCAAGGCGACGAUGUCUAGGGGCUCUGAGAGGAGAAUCCCCCACACUGGUACUGAGACACGGACCAGACUCCUACGGGAGGCAGCAGUAAGGAAUAUUGGUCAAUGGGCGGAAGCCUGAACCAGCCAUGCCGCGUGCAGGAUGACUGCCCUAUGGGUUGUAAACUGCUUUUGUCCAGGAAUAAACCUAGAUACGUGUAUCUAGCUGAAUGUACUGGAAGAAUAAGGAUCGGCUAACUCCGUG
This 490-nucleotide ribosomal RNA is filed under the name uncultured organism. RNAcentral describes it as "bacterial SSU rRNA". It matches the Rfam family "Bacterial small subunit ribosomal RNA", at positions 28 to 507 of the family's 1533-position model. The record is from RNAcentral.